RNAcentral lists this ribosomal RNA (380 nucleotides) under uncultured eukaryote. RNAcentral's name for it is "partial 18S ribosomal RNA". It matches the Rfam family "Eukaryotic small subunit ribosomal RNA", at positions 592 to 976 of the family's 1831-position model. The record is from RNAcentral.
CAAUAGCGUAUAUUAAAGUUGUUGCGGUUAAAAAGCUCGUAGUUGGAUUUCUGCUGAGAACGACCGGUCCGCCCAUUGGGUGUGUAUCUGGCUCUUUCUUGGCAUCUUCUUGGUGAACGUUACUGCACUUGACUGUGUGGAGCGCUACCCAGGACUUUUACUUUGAGGAAAUUAGAGUGUUUCAAGCAGGCAUACGCCUUGAAUACGUUAGCAUGGAAUAAUAAGAUAGGACCUCGGUUCUAUUUUGUUGGUUUCUAGAGCUGAGGUAAUGAUUAAUAGGGAUAGUUGGGGGCAUUCGUAUUUAACUGUCAGAGGUGAAAUUCUUGGACUUGUUAAAGACGGACUACUGCGAAAGCAUUUGCCAAGGAUGUUUUCAUUGA